Molecule: long non-coding RNA, 268 nt
Filed under: Homo sapiens (human)
Lineage: Eukaryota; Metazoa; Chordata; Mammalia; Primates; Hominidae
Description: long non-coding RNA NONHSAT237108
Source: RNAcentral
AUACUUGGGGGUAGCUAUAAUGAACUGUAUCCGGCAUCUUGUUCUUACCUCACAGCCAUAAAGUCAAGACCAACCACACGUUCCCCUUAAAUAAGACAUCACGAUGGAUCACGGGUCUAUUACCCUAUUAAUCAGUCACGGGAGCUCUCCAUGCAUUUGGUAUUUUAAUCUGGGGGGUGUGCACGCGAUAGCAUUGUGAAACGCUGGCCCCAGAGCACCCUAUGUCGCAGUGUCUGUCUUUGAUUCCUGCCCCAUCCCAUUAUUGAUC